Molecule: long non-coding RNA, 757 nt
Organism: Eptesicus fuscus (big brown bat)
Lineage: Eukaryota; Metazoa; Chordata; Mammalia; Chiroptera; Vespertilionidae
Exons: 3
Source: RefSeq, a predicted model, not a curated record
CCAGCUGUGACGUGUUAGGAUCUUGAGUUUGCAGAAGAGCGUGCUCUGAAGACUGAGCCAGGACUGACGAAGGGUCCCAGCCACACCUUGCACCCAGGGCAAGUGGGAGUAACAAGGAAGCUCACAGGUGCUGAAGACCCUCUUCUCCCUUCCCAUAUCUAGACUCAAUGAAGAGGCUCAAUCCGAUGCCUACACAGUCCAGAAGAUCUUAUUUGUUAUGCGAUAUGGGAGGUGGAAGAAGGAGAUCCUGAGCAAGAGUGCAGCGUUCAGUGGAAGCUGGAAACUCCCGGAAGCCAGGUGAUUUGCAGGGAUAUUGGGCACGUGAGUCAAUCACUGUGAUCAGUGUGACAAGAACACCAACAGGCAUCAUUAGGCAGGGUGAAAGGGGAGAGAGGCAGGCACCAGCUCUGCACAGGAGAUGGUACCUGGGCUGGGUCCCAAGGAGUUCUGGAAACCUUGCAUCAGAGUGGGAAGCAUAAGCCACUCCUUCUUGUAAUACCCUUCUCUGUACCUGACCUACCUCCUCAAGAACCAGCUGGGAAGCAUCUCCUCUAGAGCUUGCUGACCCCAAGUGACCUGGUUUUCCUGUGAACUCGGGCAGCUCUGCUCCUCACCAACACAGCUCCUUCCCCCAGCCUUGAUGCACAGACCCUCGGCCCUUACAGCACCUUCCCGAGGGGAGAGGAAUUCAUCGUUAUCCACCCCAUUCGCUCUUAGUACGUGUUUUGCCUACAGUGACUGCUGAAGACGUAUUUAU